GGCGCGUUUGAGUGUCUCUCUGUGGCAGGGAUCCCAGAGUUGGGAGGCGCGGAAGGCGCAACUCCCGGUAUGAAUCAGACGAGCCCAUUCCCAACGUUGGGAAGGUGAAGAUUUACUGCGCAAGAGGCCAAACUGGAGUGGUCAAAAUGGCCUUCCCUCUCCCCACUCCUCAGGAGCUCAUCAUGGCGACGCCCCCUAAACGGCGGGCGCUAGAGGCCACGAGUGAGAAAGUGCUGCGCUAUGAGGCCUUCAUCAGUGACGUGCUUCAGCGGGACCUGCAAAAGGUGCUGGACCAUCGCGACAAAGUAUAUGAGCAGCUGGCCACAUAUCUUCAACUAAGAAAUGUCAUUGAGCGACUCCAGGAAACUAACCACUCGGAGUUAUAUAUGCAGGUGGAUUUGGGCUGUAACUUCUUCGUUGACACAGUGGUCCCAGAUACUUCACGAAUCUAUGUGGCCCUUGGAUAUGGUUUUUUCCUGGAGCUGACAUUGGCAGAAGCUCUCAAGUUUAUUGAUCGUAAGAGCUGUCUCCUCACAGAUUGCCUUGUUCAAAUCAGGAUCCAAGCAAGGUCUGUCCAUAUAUUGCAUUUGGCUGAUAUGUCUCUGAAGUUUCUAUUAAUCUAAUUCAGUUUCCAGAGGCUCAGCGACAGCCUUACCAAGGACUCCAUGAAUAUCAAGGCCCAUAUUCAUAUGUUGCUAGAGGGGCUUAGAGAGCUACAAGGCCUGCACAGUCUCCCAGAGAAGCCUCAUCACUGACUUCAGCUGCCCUCCCCCAACAUUAAAGAGCCUGAAUGCC
This is an RNA transcript of Loxodonta africana (African savanna elephant), 795 nucleotides long. It is a transcript of the gene named ubiquitously expressed prefoldin like chaperone, with no coding region annotated. The transcript is spliced from 7 exons. Lineage: Eukaryota; Metazoa; Chordata; Mammalia; Proboscidea; Elephantidae. The record is from RefSeq and is a predicted model, not a curated record.